UACACUCCUGCGGGAGGCAGCAGUGGGGAAUUUUGGACAAUGGGCGAAAGCCUGAUCCAGCAAUGCCGCGUGAGUGAAGAAGGCCUUCGGGUUGUAAAGCUCUUUUGUCAGGGAAGAAACGGUGAAAGCUAAUAUCUUUUGCUAAUGACGGUACCUGAAGAAUAAGCACCGGCUAACUACGUGCCAGCAGCCGCGGUAAUACGUAGGGUGCAAGCGUUAAUCGGAAUUACUGGGCGUAAAGCGUGCGCAGGCGGUUUUGUAAGUCUGAUGUGAAAUCCCCGGGCUCAACCUGGGAAUUGCAUUGGAGACUGCAAGGCUAGAAUCUGGCAGAGGGGGGUAGAAUUCCACGUGUAGCAGUGAAAUGCGUAGAUAUGUGGAGGAACACCGAUGGCGAAGGCAGCCCCCUGGGUCAAGAUUGACGCUCAUGCACGAAAGCGUGGGGAGCAAACAGGAUUAGAAACCCGGGUAGUCCCAUGA
Molecule: ribosomal RNA, 477 nt
Filed under: uncultured organism
Description: partial 16S ribosomal RNA
Rfam family: Bacterial small subunit ribosomal RNA
Source: RNAcentral